AGAAUCAACGCUGGCGGCGUGCCUAACACAUGCAAGUCGAACGAGAAAGUGGUAGCAAUACCAUGAGUACAGUGGCGCACGGGUGAGUAACACGUGACUAACCUACCCUGGAGUGGGGGAUAACUGAGGGAAACCUUAGCUAAUACCGUAUAAUACCUACGGGUCAAAGGAGCAAUUCGCUUCAGGAGGGGGUCGCGGCCGAUUAGUUAGUUGGCGGGGUAAUGGCCCACCAAGACAGUGAUCGGUAUCCGGCCUGAGAGGGCGCACGGACACACUGGAACUGAAACACGGUCCAGACUCCUACGGGAGGCAGCAGUGGGGAAUUUUGCGCAAUGGGGGAAACCCUGACGCAGCAACGCCGCGUGGAGGAUGAAGUCCUUCGGGACGUAAACUCCUUUCGAUCGGGACGAUAAUGACGGUACCGGAAGAGAAGCCCGGCUAACUUCGUGCCAGCAGCCGC
Molecule: ribosomal RNA, 460 nt
Filed under: uncultured bacterium
Lineage: Bacteria
Description: SSU rRNA
Rfam family: Bacterial small subunit ribosomal RNA
Source: RNAcentral